Molecule: ribosomal RNA, 492 nt
Filed under: uncultured bacterium
Lineage: Bacteria
Description: partial 16S ribosomal RNA
Rfam family: Bacterial small subunit ribosomal RNA
Source: RNAcentral
AGUGAACGCUGGCGGUAGGCCUAACACAUGCAAGUCGAACGGCAGCACAGUAAGAGCUUGCUCUUACGGGUGGCGAGUGGCGGACGGGUGAGGAAUACAUCGGAAUCUACUUUUUCGUGGGGGAUAACGUAGGGAAACUUACGCUAAUACCGCAUACGACCUACGGGUGAAAGCAGGGGAUCUUCGGACCUUGCGCGAUUGAAUGAGCCGAUGUCGGAUUAGUUAGUUGGCGGGGUAAAGGCCCACCAAGGCGACGAUCCGUAGCUGGUCUGAGAGGAUGAUCAGCCACACUGGAACUGAGACACGGUCCAGACUCCUACGGGAGGCAGCAGUGGGGAAUAUUGGACAAUGGGCGCAAGCCUGAUCCAGCCAUACCGCGUGGGUGAAGAAGGCCUUCGGGUUGUAAAGACCUUUUGUUGGGAAAGAAAAGCAGCAGGUUAAUACCCCGCUGUUCUGACGGUACCCAAAGAAUAAGCACCGGCUAACUUCGUG